UGUAUUUCUCUGCGUUUUUCUAUAUAUAUGCUGUAUAUCAGCAUAUAUCCAUGCAUACAGGAUGAUUUUCUUUCAAAAAUGAUCCGUUUUGGGAUUUUAGCAUGGACCAAGUCUUGACUCAAAUAUACCGGGGCCUCCUUGAGCCGUCAUGGAGUAUGCAAGGGAUGAUUUGGAAGUUCACAUGCGGCAAAGCAAGGAAAAAAGAAUUAGAAACAACUAAAUACUUUAAGAAGAAUCUGAACUUGAUUUCAAACCAAACAUAUCAAGUAAUCCUUUGUUAGAACAUGCCCACAAUAAGAUAAGUGUUAUAAGCUCUGCUAUUUUUCUUGAACAACCUUGCCCUUUUAAUAUUCCCAGGAACAUAACAUGUCUGUGCUGGCAGCAAAGUCGAAUGAAAAAGAUUCAAACAAGAAUGCUCUAUGGCCUUUAAGAAAGAAAUGAAACAUUUAAAGCUAGUUUCUUAAACAUACAUGAAACAUUUCAACUCUAGAAAGAAAAUGAACAAAUGAGCCUUAAUUGGAUUUGAAAAUACUACUGGAAGGAGAAAGGAAAUCUUACAACUUAUUGCUUAUAUUCUAAUAAAUGGGUGGAUCUUAGACUAGUGAAUUCUAAAAAAAAUUGCACGCGUAUGACAUUACACGGAUGACAUUAGACUUAAGCCAAAGCGAUUCGAGUAAAUUCAACUUCACAGGAUAAACAAUCACAGUGAAAAUGACAAAAUGCCUACGCCCAGAUGAACGCCAAAUGAAUCUCUAGAUCCAACGAAUAUGAACUUGAAUCGACACACCCAACGCUUAUCAUCGAUCAACACACAACAUUACUUCAGUAAAUAAAUUUCAAAACUUUUAAUUUUGAAUUUUUACCAUGUUUAUAAUCAAAAGAAUAGGUAAACCAGAAAUACAAAAAGACUUCAUUUAGCAUUUGACCAACACAAAGCCAAAUGAUGAAUACAAAGUAAUAAAGAAAGAGAAAAAAAUUCUUCAAAGCUAAUAAAAUUUGGAACUUUUCGACAACAUAGUAAUAAAUUAAUUAAAAACACUCAAAAUCACAAGGCCUCACCCAGCAUUAUACACAUGUUCAAGCAAAACCAUAAAUGACACGUCAAAAAGUAUCACUUUUAAGAAAAAGUUAUCAAGAUGAAAUCUUCACACAAAUUCCAUUAUCAAACCAGCCUCACAACAACCACGGGAAUCAAAAUACUAAUAGAAUCUCAUGGUGUAACUUUCAAACACGAAGAAGAGAAAAUGUAAAAAGAGAGUUUUUACCUUUUUCGGGGUAGGAACCGGGACUAGAGUCUAUCACGAUGGAUUCCCACCACCAAAACUUGACCUGAACUUACCAGCGUUGAAUCGUUCUCGCGGGAAUUCAGACGAUUUCAAUGCAUUUAGACGAAUUUCACCGAGAACUUCUUGGUUACGUGAGAUCAGAGGAGCAGAGCGCUCUUCCAAAAUCCCCAAUUUUCCCCCAAAAAGUCCUCCCCCUUACCCUCAUCUCUCAACGUCUAUUUAUAGGGAAAAAAUUAGGGCUUCAAAUUUUAAAAAU
RNAcentral lists this long non-coding RNA (1542 nucleotides) under Capsicum annuum. RNAcentral describes it as "long non-coding RNA (CANN_LNC004583)". Lineage: Eukaryota; Viridiplantae; Streptophyta; Magnoliopsida; Solanales; Solanaceae. The record is from RNAcentral.